This 126-nucleotide small RNA is filed under the name Neogale vison (American mink). RNAcentral describes it as "Neovison vison (American mink) 7SK RNA (ENSNVIG00000013323.1)". Lineage: Eukaryota; Metazoa; Chordata; Mammalia; Carnivora; Mustelidae. The record is from RNAcentral.
ACCGUUCUUCGGUCAAGGGUAUACGAGUAGCUGCGCUCCCCUGCUAGAACCUCCAAACAAGCUCUCAAGGCUAGCCAUUUCUUUUGACCAACACCUUUUUUUUAAAAAAAAAAUUGCAAAAUUGGC